This is a long non-coding RNA of Raphanus sativus (radish), 4488 nucleotides long. RefSeq lists it as uncharacterized. The transcript has 3 exons. The record is from RefSeq and is a predicted model, not a curated record. Lineage: Eukaryota; Viridiplantae; Streptophyta; Magnoliopsida; Brassicales; Brassicaceae.
AUUAUUUGCGAAGUGAUUUUCAACAUGUUUUCUCUACAAUCGUUUUUACAAAAAAAAUUUGACAUGACUAUUAAGAUUGAUGACAUGUCAUUUGGUUAAAUAAGACAUGGAAAAUUACAUUUAAUGCUGAUAUAUAUUUUUGGAAAACUUUUUAAAAUAUAGCAAUAACUCAUAUAUUACAUUUAAUGUUGAUUUAUAUUUUUGCUAAACUUUUUAGAAUAUGGCAAUAGCUCAUGAAUCAUCACUAAAAUAAGUAUAUUCAAAUAUGACAUUUUGAAUUUCGAAAGAUUAUUUAAUUUUAAUUCAAAUAUGAUAAGUGGAUUAAUCACUAAAAUUAUUUUCUUUUAAUUAUGCUUAAUUAAAUGAUAUUAUAUUAAUUAUUCGUAAAAAUAAUAAAUAUAUAAUAUUAAUAAAUUACAUUUUUAAAUAUAAAUUUUAACUUUUAAAAAAUUCAUCACUGCACAUGGUGCAGGAAAAUACCUAGUACCAACUAAGGCUGAAGUGAAUAUAAAGUACUAAUGCUAUCCAAAAUUAAGUUUCAAAGUUUUAAUUUGGGUUUGAUUUUGUCGUAAAAAAGACGUAAAGUAAUAUGGUUUUUACGAGGAAAAGUGGUUUCCUUGUAAACUCGACGUAACUGUAACGUCUACUUUACGAAAAAUAAUUUACGUAUACAUAACAACGAAAUUUUCAGUCCACCAACUUUGUAGUUGUAACACAUUUUUUGUUUCGGCUACUAACUAAAUUUUCCAACUACCAGAUUCGAAAAUUUUCUAUAAAUAUGGAUGUUUGAAUAUCAUUUUCAAAGCACACCAAGAAGAAAAAUAAAUAAAAACGUGAAAAAAUAUGUCGGGCUCCGAGAAUAUUUUUGAGUUGCGGCGGUGGAUGUAUAUGCACAUAGAUGCUAACGAGAGAGUGAAAAAAGAAUACCUUGAAGGACUGGAGACAUUUAUGCAUCAAGUAGAUUCCACAUCGCUCGCCUUAGAAAGCGGUAAGAUGUUAUGUCCUUGUGAGAAAUGCAACAAUUCGAAAUUGACAAAUCGUGAAAAUGUUUGGAAGCAUUUAAUAAAUAGAGGUUUCACGCCAAAUUAUUAUAUCUGGUUUCAACAUGGAAAAUGUUAUAAUUAUGAGAAUGAAGUUAGUAGUAGUAAUAGCAAUUUUGAGGAAGACCCGGUUGAUCAUCAUUUGCAUAAUGAACAUAGUUACCUUCAGGAGGAGCAUAUGGUAGAUUAUGAUAGGGUUCAUGAUAUGGUAGCUAAUGCAUUUGUAGCUCAUGAUGAAGAUGAAGAACCAAACAUAGAUGCAAAAAGGUUUUAUGAAAUGUUAGAUGCUGCAAAUCAACCAAUCCACACUGGUUGUUGAGAAGGUCUCUCUAAAUUGUCGUUGGCUGCUAGAAUGAUGAAUAUUAAAAAUGAUCACAAUCUACCUGAAAGUUGCAUGAAUGAAUGGACAGACUUAUUUAAAGAGUAUUUGUCGGAAGACAAUGUGUCUGCUGAUUCUUAUUAUGAGAUUCAGAAACUGGUUUAUAGUCUUGGGUUGCCUUCGGAGAUGAUAGAUGUUUGCAUCGACAAUUGCAUGAUCUACUGGGGAGAUAAAGAUGAGAAGUUAGAAGAAUGUUGAUUCUGCAAGAAGCCACGAUUCAAGCCGCAAGGACGAGGACGUAACAGGGUACCAUACCAAAGGAUGUGGUACUUACCAAUUACAGACAUAUUGAAAAGAUUGUACCAAUCUGAGCAGACUGCUGGAAGGAUGAGAUGGCAUGGCGAGCAUACUUAGACGGAUGUUGAGAUGACUCAUCCAUCAGAUGCAAGAGCUUGAAAAUAUUUUAACAAAGUACAUCCGGAAUUCGCUCGCAAUAUCCGGAAUGUGUAUCUCGGAUUAUACACAGAUGGAUUUAGUUCAUUCAGAGUGUCAAGGAGACAAUAUUCAUUGUGGCCAGUUUUUCUUACGCCGUACAACCUGCCAACGGAGAUGUGCAUGCAACGGGAGUUGCUAUUCUUGACCAUAUUAAUACAUGGUCCGAACCAUCCAAAAAGAUCUCUGGAUGUUUUCCUACAACCACUGAUAAAAGAGUUGAAGGAUUUGUGGUCAACAGGGGAGAGGACGUAUGACUACUCAACGAAGACAAAUUUUACGAUGCGAGCGAUGUUUUUGUGGACCAUAAGUGAUUUUCCUACCUAUGGAAUGUUGUUUGGAUGGACUACACAUGGGAGAUUAGCUUGUCCAUAUUGUAAUGGAAACGACAUAUGCGUUUCAACUUAAGAAUGGUAAGAAGACAAGUUGGUUUGAUUGUCACCGUCAAUUUCUUUCCAUUGGCCAUCCUUACCGAAGAAACAAGAAAUUGUUUAGGUACAAAACGGUUGUGAGAGAAACUCCUCCUCCAUAUCUAACUGAAGAACAAAUUGAAGCACAAAUUAAUUACUAUGGAGCUUUGGAAACAGUUCCUCGUAGUGGUAAUUGGCAUGUCCCCGGUAAUAUGUCUGAUUAUUACGGUGUUCGGCACAACUGGCACAAGUAGUGUAUAUUUUGGGAGUUGCCAUAUUGGAAUAAUCUUCUUCUACACCACAGCCUCGAUGUGAUGCAUAUAUAGAAGAAUUUCUUUGAGAAUAUCAUGAAUACAACAUUGAAUGUCCCAGGAAAGACAAAAGACAACAUAAAAUCGAGGUUGAACUUGCCGGAUAUUUUCUCAAGAAGUGAGUUACAUAUAAAAAGCAAUGGACAAGUUUCCGUUCCGAUAAUCAGAUUGUAUUCAGAAAAAAGUCGGUGUUGUUCAACUGGGUGGCAUCAGAAGUGAAGUUUCCGAUGGGUAUGUUUCAAAUCUCUCUAGAUGUGUUGACAAGGGUCAAAAGUUUUCCGGGAUGAAGAGUCAUGAUUGUCAUGUCUUUAUUCAACGACUACUUCCCUUUGCAUUUACGGAGUUACUUCCAACAAACGUACAUGAAGCACUUUCAAGUAGUAUAUUAUAAUGCAUUAAUUUUAUAAUAUAUGAUUAAUAAUGUGUUUAAUUAAUUGUUUUGGAAUAUACAAAGCAUUGGAGCAUUUUUCAGGGAUCUGAGCACACACACUCUUAAAGAAGGUGUCAUGGAACAACUUCACGAGAACAUUCUCAUCUUAUUGUGCAACUUGGACAAGAUAUUUCCUCCCGGAUUUUUUGACGUCAUGGAAUCUAGUUGUCCACCUCCCAUAUGAAACAUUACUUCGUGGACAUGUACAUUACGGUUGGAUGUAUCAGUAUGAACGAGCCAUGAAAUAUUUGAAGGGAAAAGCAAAAAACCUCACAAAAGAUGAAGGUUCUAUAAUUGCUGGAAGUUUGACGGAAGAAACUUCUCACUUCACACCGUACUACUUUGCGUCAAAAGUACGUACCCGGAAAAGAGCUACAAAAAGAUAUGAUGAUGGUGGUGUCGCGCCAACAUAUGCAGUUGCUGGUGUUCCAGACAUCUUUAGCCAGAUUAGGCGAAUCUGUGGAAAAUCGAAAGAGGUUUGGUGGUCAAGUGAAGAAGUCGCUCAUAGUGCACACACAUAUAUUCUACUCAAUUGCGAUGAUCCACUGAUGCGUUAUUUUGAAAGCAUAUUUGUUUCUCAAGUCAAAGAAACAUUCUUAGGUAUAUCCACAAGUGACAGAGACAAAAGAAAAGAUCCACACUUUAUUAAGUGGUUGAAGAAUCAGAUAUUAACUCAAACUCUUAAUUUUUGCAUGAUCGAUCAAACUCUUUUUUCAUACAUGCUAUGUAUUUCAACGUUCUCUUUAUUUUUUCAGGUUGAUUAUGACGACGAUGCAGAUUAUCCUACGUGGUUUCACGAAGUAAUUCAAGCUCCACUUGCAAAGGUCACCACAUCACAUAUGUAUUUCACACGAGGCUAUACUUUUAACACAUGAGUAUGGUAGACAUCGGGCGACCAGUAACUGUGGAAUAUGUGUGAAAGGCGAAACAGAUCUUGCAUGAGAUUAUUGAAGUGGAAUUCUCGGGGUUAUUGAAGCUGAAAUGCGUCAUCUUCAAAUGUGAAUGGUUCGACCCCGUCGUCAACAGAGGUGUUCGGUUUAACAAAUUCGGUGUAGUUGAUGUCAAUGGUGGACGAAGUUUCUACGUUGUCUUUAUUUUUGCAGGUACAACAAAUUCGAGUCUUUCAUCUUAGCUUCACAAGCAGACCAAGUUAGCUUCUUUCCAUACCCUCGGAUGAGAGAAUCGAAAAUAAGUUGGUUAACCGUGAUCAAAGUUACACCUCGUGGACGAAUCAUCAGCGGAGAAGAACCACCGUUGCAAGAAGAACAAAUAAAUGAAUAAAUGAAGUCGAGGAACCUGAACAACAAAUUGAUGACAUCCUUCUCACUGUUCUGCAUAAUCAUGAGUACAAAGAUUUUACCAACGAUGCCACGAACGAAACUGUUGAAGAAGAGUUUAAUGAAAAUGAUGAUGUUUCUAGUGAUGACGAGAAUGUCGAUGUAUCCGAUUGAUGUAUUUGUUUUUAAUAUGAUUGAUUUUUAGAUUU